RNAcentral lists this ribosomal RNA (557 nucleotides) under uncultured bacterium. RNAcentral describes it as "partial 16S ribosomal RNA". It matches the Rfam family "Bacterial small subunit ribosomal RNA", at positions 355 to 902 of the family's 1533-position model. The record is from RNAcentral.
UGGGGAAUUUUGGACAAUGGGGGAAACCCUGAUCCAGCCAUCCCGCGUGUGCGAUGAAGGCCUUCGGGUUGUAAAGCACUUUUGGCAGGAAAGAAACGUCGCGGGUUAAUACCCCGCGAAACUGACGGUACCUGCAGAAUAAGCACCGGCUAACUACGUGCCAGCAGCCGCGGUAAUACGUAGGGUGCAAGCGUUAAUCGGAAUUACUGGGCGUAAAGCGUGCGCAGGCGGUUCGGAAAGAAAGAUGUGAAAUCCCAGAGCUUAACUUUGGAACUGCAUUUUUAACUACCGGGCUAGAGUGUGUCAGAGGGAGGUGGAAUUCCGCGUGUAGCAGUGAAAUGCGUAGAUAUGCGGAGGAACACCGAUGGCGAAGGCAGCCUCCUGGGAUAACACUGACGCUCAUGCACGAAAGCGUGGGGAGCAAAACAGGAUUAGAUACCCUGGUAGUCCACGCCCUAAAACGAUGUCAACUAGCUGUUGGGGCCUUCGGGCCUUGGUAGCGCAGCUAACGCGUGAAGUUGACCGCCUGGGGAGUACGGUCGCAAGAUUAAAAACUU